CCGCGCCCGCUACCUGAAGGUUACGGCUUUCUGGUCUGUGCGAAUUGAAUCUGGUCGUGCCGCUGACCUGAUAGGUCACCGCCAUGCGCAUCAGAGAUACCGACGGUCUAAAGCGUCCGCGCAGGUCUCGCGCAGUUUCCUUGCUGAUCGGCUUUGCCUUCGGCUCGGUGACGCAGAUAGCACGAUAGGUCG
Non-coding RNA from Pseudomonas sp. 1 R 17, 192 nucleotides. NCBI's taxonomy places the organism in Bacteria, Pseudomonadati, Pseudomonadota, Gammaproteobacteria, Pseudomonadales, Pseudomonadaceae. The record is from Rfam.